This 158-nucleotide ribosomal RNA is filed under the name uncultured bacterium. Its description in RNAcentral is "partial 16S ribosomal RNA". It matches the Rfam family "Bacterial small subunit ribosomal RNA", at positions 1345 to 1500 of the family's 1533-position model. The record is from RNAcentral.
CAGAUCAGCAUGCUGCGGUGAAUACGUUCCCGGGCCUUGUACACACCGCCCGUCACACCAUGGGAGUCGGUAACACCCGAAGUCGGUAGCCUAACCGUAAGGAGGGCGCCGCCGAAGGUGGGGAUUGAUGACUGGGGGUGAAGUCGUAACAAGGUAGC